This 492-nucleotide ribosomal RNA is filed under the name uncultured bacterium. Its description in RNAcentral is "partial 16S ribosomal RNA". It matches the Rfam family "Bacterial small subunit ribosomal RNA", at positions 29 to 507 of the family's 1533-position model. The record is from RNAcentral.
AGUGAACGCUGGCGGCAGGCCUAACACAUGCAAGUCGAACGGUAACACGAAACGACUUGCUGUUUACCUGACGCGUGUCGGGCGGGUGUGUGAUGUCUGUCAGACUGCACUAUUUCGGGGGGGAACUCGUGGAGACAGUAACUCUAACACCGUAUCCUCGCAACGCCUGAAAGCAGGAGCCCCUCGCCUCUUGCCCUCUGGUGUGCCCCGAUGUGGGAUUAGCUUGUUGGUGGGGUAACGGCUCACCAAGGCGACGAUCCGUAGCUGGUCUGAGAGGAUGACCAGCCACACUGGAACUGAGACACGGUCCAGACUCCUACGGGAGGCAGCAGUGGGGAAUAUUGGACAAUGGGCGCAAGCCUGAUGCAGCCAUGCCGCGUGUAUGAAGAAGGCCUUCGGGUUGUAAAGUACUUUCAGCGGGGAGGAAGGGAGUAAAGUUAAUACCUUUGCGCAUUGACGGUACCCGCAGAAGAAGCACCGGCUAACUUCGUG